Xylaria bambusicola is the source of this 115-nucleotide non-coding RNA. The record is from the annotation of a RefSeq genome assembly. Lineage: Eukaryota; Fungi; Ascomycota; Sordariomycetes; Xylariales; Xylariaceae.
CCUGACGUGGUGUAGUGGUAGCACGCCCUUUGACACACGACGUAGUCCGCUGUUAAGCGGCGCGAAACCGUGCCUUCGGGGGUGGGAAGCCUGGGUUCGAUUCCUAGCGUCGGGA